AAGUCAAACAAAAUGAACCGGGAAGAGUUGUUGUAUACCGAGAGAUAUAUGGAACUUCGCGCGCACUUCAAUGAAUUGAAUAUUUUAACGGUCCUCUUAUUCUUUUCUUCCUAUCUAUUGGUUUCUUUUCUUUUCUUUUGUUUUAUUUCAUUUUUUUUCUCUAUACUUUUCUCUUAUCUUUUGGCUCAUUAUUCUCUUUUUAUUCCUUUUCCUAGGUAAUUUUUUUCUCCCUCCCACCCCUUUCUUUACUAUCUUUGUUUCAAUCGUUAAACCUUUGAUAAAUAGGAAAAGUACCGAUGAGUAUAUAACUUUUUUUUCUUUCUUUUUUUUUUUUUUUUUUUUUGAAGCGAACUCGAAUAUUUCGGGUCGAUUUUGUUCUUCCUUUUUAAAUAUUACAUUUCUACGAUAUCCAUAAGAAUUUUUAGAUGUAUAUAGUUGUUCUUUUGUAAUUUCUUUUUGUAUAUAAAAUAACUGAGAGAUGAGUACAAAUAAUGUAUUAUAGAAAAUAUGUUACAAAAUUAAUGAUAAAUUAGAAACUUGCAAAAUAAGAAACUCAAUCUCUUUAAUUAUCUAUAACUUUCUUACGUGUAAUGAACAAAUUUUUUUAAAUUACGAAAGAUUCCAAUUUUUCUAUAUUAAAAUAGAUUAAAAUAAGAAAAAAAAUUAGAAGAAAAAGAAAAAGAAAGAAAAAGAGGAAAAAAAAAGAAACGAAAAAGAAAAAAAAAAGGAAAAAAGAGCAGAGAAGAGACGAUAAAACAAAAAAAAGAAAAAAAAAAGAAAGAAAGAAAGAAAAAAGAAAUUAAAAGGAUCCGAAACAAUCGAGUUCAAUCAUAACUUUUCAAGACCACUACAAAAUUCUAGAAUUAAUAAUACAUUAAAUAUUUUUCUUAUAAGAUGCAAAUCAAAAGAUCAUGUCGAACCGAAGAAAUCUCGGACAAGGCGAUUUUUUUGUCCAAGUCGGAACGGUGCCUCGAGUCCCUUUGAUUCGUUCAGCGAUCGAGCAAGGAUGCGGGGCGACGAAGGAGAGGUGUGGUGCGCUUGGAAAUUUUGUUAUUUGCUUACUCGGCAGCCUGUGUUUUUAGUAUUAUUAAUCACAGAGUAAUCGGUCGGUCUUAAUUAGUGUCGAUACCAGACAGGGUUGUAAAAUGACGUAAUUAGUAGAGUUUGAAUGCAAACAGAGAAAAGGGUGGAUUAAGGGAAUGAGAGGGUUAAGGGUGAAGGAGGUAAAAGUAGAUAAGGUCGAUCGGUUAACGUUCUCGUUUCGAAUUCGAGGCUUCGCCGAUUGAAAGGACUUUGCCUUUGAGUUCUCGAGAACGAAACUGAAAUGUUUUGAUUUCAAUCGAU
This is a long non-coding RNA of Vespa crabro (European hornet), 1344 nucleotides long. RefSeq lists it as uncharacterized. NCBI's taxonomy places the organism in Eukaryota, Metazoa, Arthropoda, Insecta, Hymenoptera, Vespidae. The record is from RefSeq and is a predicted model, not a curated record. The transcript has 3 exons.